This 484-nucleotide ribosomal RNA is filed under the name uncultured bacterium. RNAcentral describes it as "partial 16S ribosomal RNA". It matches the Rfam family "Bacterial small subunit ribosomal RNA", at positions 28 to 523 of the family's 1533-position model. The record is from RNAcentral.
GACGAACGCUGGCGGCGUGCUUAACACAUGCAAGUCGAACGAUGAAGCCGGAGCUUGCUCUGGUGAAUUAGUGGCGAACGGGUGAGUAACACGUGAGUAACCUGCCCUUGACUCUGGGAUAACUGCGGGAAACUGUAGCUAAUACCGGAUACGACCCUCGGAGGCAUCUCCUGGGGGUGGAAAGAAUUUCGGUCAAGGAUGGACUCGCGGCCUAUCAGCUAGUUGGUGAGGUAAAGGCUCACCAAGGCGACGACGGGUAGCCGGCCAGAGGGGGUGGCGCGCCACACUGGGACUGAGACACGGCCCAGACUCCACCGGGGGGCAGCAGUGGGGAAUAUUGCACAAUGGGCGCAAGCCUGAUGCAGCAACGCCGCGUGAGAGAUGACGGCCUUCGGGUUGUAAACCUCUUUUAGCAGGGAAGAAGCGAAAGUGACGGUACCUGCAGAAAAAGCACCGGCUAACUACGUGCCAGCCGCCGCGGUAA